Molecule: long non-coding RNA, 427 nt
Filed under: Drosophila melanogaster (fruit fly)
Lineage: Eukaryota; Metazoa; Arthropoda; Insecta; Diptera; Drosophilidae
Description: long non-coding RNA:CR44384 (Dmel_CR44384)
Source: RNAcentral
AAGCCGUAAGUCGAUUGUGAACUUUUGGUCUGUAUCCUUUGCAAGGAUUCCACAAAUUGGCUUGUCUCGACAUGACUCUGGCCAGUUAUUCACCGUUCGCCGCAUGGAGACAUAUGUACAUAUAUGUAUAUAUAUCGCUUAUAUUUACCCCGAAUGCGAGUUUCAAGCAGAUCUUUGGUCCCCGGAACGGCAACGGCUGAGAAGAAUCGACGGACCGGGAACCAAAAUAAAUGCGCAAUGCAUACAUGGAGCGCACAGCGGAGCGAGACGGCACUACAACGUGACAUUCCUUAAAUUUUUGUUUGUGUUCAGGGAACAUUAAAAAAUAUUUUUAUCUUGUGCAAAACCAUGAGGAAUCAACUUCUGAUGGGAAGAAUCCUUUUUUUCCAACUUGCUGCUGCUUGUGUGUCGCUUUGACGUUGCCGAC